GCAUCGCUGUGAGACCCUCUCCUCCUCCCCUCACUUCACGAGCUUGCUCUCCCGCCCGUAGCUAGCUCCCCUCCGUUGUUGUGCCCGCGUCGCCGCCGUUUGCCUCGCUGCCGCAGCCACAGGGAGCCUGACUCGCUCCCAAGCACGCAGACGUGCUCUUGGGGCUCCCAGGAGCCCAACACACGCACUCGUCUGCUUCCCCCGCUCCCCACUUUCGCCCGAAAGCACCGCCGCCUCUACUCGACGCCGGUCGCGUUUCCGGCCACCUUCGGCCCGACCACCACCGUAGAAUGGUGCUGCCUCGAACGCUGGUUCGAACGCGCCUUCACGUGCGCCAAAUAAACGCUUGUAGGCGUUUUCCGAGCGCACUGAAGGGAGGCAAAGUGACUGUUGUCGACUCCAUCUCACGGGGCCAGGCCUCCCGCCCGCGCCGCGACGCCGGCGGCCUGGAGGCCCGGCUGGCUUGAGCAGCCGCCACGGUGUGAGAUGUACAGGCGAGUUGUCUGGGGACCGCGCGGCGGACGUGGCAGCGAGAUCCACGAGGAGCACGAGGCGGUGCAGCAAGAUCGACAAGGACGGUGCGACUACGGGGUGGAGGUGGGUUACACAAGAGGAUGAGGGGAUUGAGAGAUGAUGGUGGAGGCAGCGACUGUUUGAAGCACAUUAAAAUAUUCAUCAUUGGUGCAGGUGUGAGGAUAACUAGUCAGACGUCAUGUUUCAGAAUCCCCCUUUCAAGGUUCCCUCCCCCACAGAUUCAACAUCACCUGUAUCUGAAGAACAUCAAAGGAGACGAUUGCACUAUCACACAAUAUGAGGCCAUGUUUGCAUAGCCGAAGACUUGCUCCCUCGCAAUAUUAGUUGUUGGUGGUAUUGUAUUGCAGAUUUUGGUAAGCUUGGACAUUUAACUUAGCGUCAACUUUUUUAUCCUUUUUCGACGUUGCCUAAAUGUAGUGCCCCAAGUGUAAAGCUUUUCCUUUUUGUAACCUUCCAUGUGGGAUCACCUUGACAUGUUAUGAGAGAGUCCUAUUGCUUC
Molecule: long non-coding RNA, 1033 nt
Organism: Hordeum vulgare subsp. vulgare (domesticated barley)
Lineage: Eukaryota; Viridiplantae; Streptophyta; Magnoliopsida; Poales; Poaceae
Exons: 2
Source: RefSeq, a predicted model, not a curated record